ACACGACCAGACACUCCGAAGCAAAAUUGGAAUAAAAAGUGUUCGUGAGCGAUUUACCGCCAGUUAUCGAAUAUUGAAAGACCCCUAGGUAAUAAUAAAAAUAUAUUUUACAAGCAUCACUGCUGUGGUUGCUACGAAAUAGUCGCCAUGCACGGCAUAAUAAACAAACAGGAAUGUACCAGUUAUUAUGGAGAUAACACUAUGAGGAUGUGAUGGUGAUCUAUCAAAAUGGAACAUAUCCGCCUAUAUUUACCACUGAAUUUUUCUGAAACAUUUUCUACGUAUCUUUCAACAAUAUUUGAAUGAUAGGAUAAUGUCCCUGUCAAGCCGCCCACUGACUGUCUCUGCUUCUACAGGCGUUUAAAAAGAGAUUCAUUAUAAGAAUCAAGCACCAUCUGCCUAAUGAUAAUCGGUAGCAAAACAAAUUUUCUCACGACCAACAAAGCACGCUCAAGAACUAUUUACUUACAACACGACUUGCUGUAAUACGAGCACAAUAAAUAUAGAUUUCAUCAUU
This is a long non-coding RNA of Malaya genurostris, 517 nucleotides long. RefSeq lists it as uncharacterized. The record is from RefSeq and is a predicted model, not a curated record. The transcript is spliced from 2 exons. NCBI's taxonomy places the organism in Eukaryota, Metazoa, Arthropoda, Insecta, Diptera, Culicidae.